Molecule: unclassified non-coding RNA, 18 nt
Filed under: Mus musculus (house mouse)
Lineage: Eukaryota; Metazoa; Chordata; Mammalia; Rodentia; Muridae
Description: oocyte_clustered_small_RNA1817
Source: RNAcentral
UGGCUGAUGACGUUCUCA